This 285-nucleotide unclassified non-coding RNA is filed under the name Hevea brasiliensis (rubber tree). Lineage: Eukaryota; Viridiplantae; Streptophyta; Magnoliopsida; Malpighiales; Euphorbiaceae. The record is from RNAcentral.
AUGUUUGAAUGCAAUGACUAUUCAUAAACUAUGCUUUGAUAGCUAUAUGUUCCAGAAAAUGUUAUUGAAGGUGGUGUUGAAAUAAAAUUAACAAGAGCACCCAUGUUGCCACGAUGCUAGAAGCAGACCAUAUAUUUUGGUAGUAAAUAUGUAAGUAGAUCGUAGAUCCAUUUAAAUUAUCUAAAUUGGUUCACGCAUCUAUAAUACUAGAAAGCACUACCGCACCAGGACAUAAAUUUUAUCUCAAGUAAAUCAAAAAGCAUUGAAAAGAAGUAAAUAAAAUAA